UACGUAGGUUGCAAGCGUUACUCGGAAUUACUGGGCGUAAAGCGUGCGCAGGCGGUUUUUUAAGCCAGCUGUGAAAUCCCCGGGCUCAACCCGGGAACUGCGUCCGAGACUGGCAUGCUUGAAUCCGGGAGAGGGAUGUGGAAUUCCAGGUGUAGCGGUGAAAUGCGUAGAUAUCUGGAGGAACAUCGGUGGCGAAGGCGGCAUCCUGGACCGGUAUUGACGCUGAGGCGCGAAAGCCAGGGAAGCAAACGGG
RNAcentral lists this ribosomal RNA (253 nucleotides) under uncultured bacterium. RNAcentral describes it as "partial 16S ribosomal RNA". It matches the Rfam family "Bacterial small subunit ribosomal RNA", at positions 524 to 776 of the family's 1533-position model. The record is from RNAcentral.